Molecule: ribosomal RNA, 379 nt
Filed under: uncultured eukaryote
Lineage: Eukaryota
Description: partial 18S ribosomal RNA
Rfam family: Eukaryotic small subunit ribosomal RNA
Source: RNAcentral
CAAUAGCGUAUAUUAAAGUUGUUGCAGUUAAAAAGCUCGUAGUUGGAUUUGUGGCGUACGGUGUGUUCCGGGCACUUGUUGUCUGAGUAACCUGCUGUUGCCAUCCUUGGGUGGAACCUGUGUGGCAUUAGGUUGUCGUGCAGGGGAUGCCCAUCAUUUACUGUGAGAAAAUCAGAGUGCUCAAAGCAGGCAUUUGCCGUGAAUGUAUUAGCAUGGAAUAAUAGAAUAGGACUCGGUUCUAUUUUGUUGGUUUGUUGGGACUGAGUAAUGAUUAAGAGGGACAGUUGGGGGCAUUUGUAUUCCGGCGCUAGAGGUGAAAUUCUUAGAUUGCCGGAAGACAAACUGCUGCGAAAGCGUCUGCCAAGGAUGUUUUCAUUAA